This 31-nucleotide non-coding RNA is filed under the name Rattus norvegicus (Norway rat). Lineage: Eukaryota; Metazoa; Chordata; Mammalia; Rodentia; Muridae. The record is from RNAcentral.
GACACUUUCAAUCAGUUAUGACAAGUAAGUG